AUGAAGGCCUUAGGGUUGUAAAGCUUCUUUCGCGGCGCGACGAUGAUGACGGUAGCGCGAGAAGAAGCCCCGGCCAACUCGUGCCAGCAGCGCGGUAAUACGAAGGGGCGAGCGUUGUCGGAAUUACUGGGCGUAAAGAGCGCGCAGGCGGCCAAUUAAGUUAGAUGUGAAAGCCCCGGGCUUAACCUGGGAACUGCAUUUAAUACUGAAUGGCUAGAGUGUGAUAGGGAGAGGCGGAAUGGCGAGUGGAGCAGUGAAAUGCGUUGAUAUUCGUUGGAACACCGGAGGCGAAGGCGGCCUCUUGGAUCAUAACUGACGCUGAGGCGCGAAAGCGUGGGGAGCAAACAGGAUUAGAUACCCUGGUAGUCCACGCCGUAAACGAUGUAUGUUGAACGUUGGGGGUUUUAGAUCUUCAGUGUUGAAGCUAACGCGGUAAACAUACCGCCUGGGGAGUACGGUCGCAAGAUUAAAACUCAAAGGAAUUGACGGGGACCCGCACAAGCGGUGGAGUAUGUGGUUUAAUUCGAGGCUACGCGAAAAACCUUACCAGCUCUUGACAUGGGUAUCGUACGAUGGAGAGAUUCAUCGGUCGGUUCGGCCGGAUACCACACAGGUGCUGCAUGGCUGUCGUCAGUUCGUGUCGUGAGAUGUUGGGUUAAGUCCCGCAACGAACGCAACCCUUGCUGCUAGUUGCCAUCAUUAAGUUGGGCACUUUAGUAGAACUGCCGGUGAUAAGCCGGAGGAAGGCAGGGACGACGUCAAGUCAUCAUGGCCCUUAUGGGCUGGGCUACACACGUACUACAAUGGCAAUGACAAAGCGUAGAGCAAAGCAGCAAUGUUAAGCAAAUCGCAAAAAAUUGCCUCAGUUCGGAUUGUCCUCUGCAACUCGAGGGCAUGAAGUCGGAAUCGCUAGUAAUCGUAGAUCAGCACGCUACGGUGAAUACGUUCUCGGGUCUUGUACACACUGCCCGCCACAUCAUGGGAGUUGGUCCUAUCUUAAGGCGGUGAGCUAACCAGCAAUGGAGGCAGCCGACUACGGUGGGGUCGAUGACUGGGGUGAAGUCGUAACAAGGUA
Molecule: ribosomal RNA, 1075 nt
Filed under: uncultured Alphaproteobacteria bacterium
Lineage: Bacteria; Pseudomonadati; Pseudomonadota; Alphaproteobacteria
Description: bacterial SSU rRNA
Rfam family: Bacterial small subunit ribosomal RNA
Source: RNAcentral